GACGUAGGUGGCAAGCGUUGUCCGGAGUUAUUGGGCGUAAAGCGCGCGCAGGCGGUUCGCUAAGUCAGACGUGAAAUCCCUCGGCUUAACCGGGGAACUGCGUCUGAUACUGGAUGGCUAGAGUUUGGGAGAGGGAUGCGGAAUUCCAGGUGUAGCGGUGAAAUGCGUAGAUAUCUGGAGGAACACCGGUGGCGAAGGCGGCAUCCUGGACCAUGACUGACGCUGAGGAGCGAAAGCCAGGGGAGCAAACGGG
This 253-nucleotide ribosomal RNA is filed under the name uncultured bacterium. RNAcentral's name for it is "partial 16S ribosomal RNA". It matches the Rfam family "Bacterial small subunit ribosomal RNA", at positions 524 to 776 of the family's 1533-position model. The record is from RNAcentral.